This 485-nucleotide ribosomal RNA is filed under the name uncultured bacterium. Its description in RNAcentral is "bacterial SSU rRNA". It matches the Rfam family "Bacterial small subunit ribosomal RNA", at positions 899 to 1397 of the family's 1533-position model. The record is from RNAcentral.
ACUCAAAGGAAUAGACGGGACCCCGCACAAGCAGCGGAGCGUGUGGUUUAAUUCGAUGAUACACGAAGAACCUUACCUGGGUUUGACAUGCAAGUGGUAGGAAACUGAAAGGGGACCGACCCUUCGGGGAGCUUGCACAGGUGCUGCAUGGCUGUCGUCAGCUCGUGUCGUGAGAUGUUCGGUUAAGUCCGCUAACGAGCGCAACCCUCGCCGUGUGUUACAAGUGUCACACGGGACCGCCGACGUCAAGUCGGAGGAAGGUGGGGAUGAUGUCAAGUCAGCAUGGCCUUUAUAUCCAGGGCUACACACACGCUACAAUGGUCAACACAAUAGGUUGCGAAACCGCGAGGUGGAGCCAAUCCCCAAAGUUGGCCUCAGUUCAGAUUGCAGGCUGCAACUCGCCUGCAUGAAGAUGGAGUUGCUAGUAACCGCAGGUCAGCACUACUGCGGUGAAUACGUUCCCGGGGUUUGUACACACCGCCCGU